GAGGGACCCCAAAGCCAGGUCUGGAAAAGGGGGGUGGGUUGGGUGGUGGGGGUGCAGCCCCCAAAGAAAUGGGGGUCGAAAUGGAGGAAACCCCACUGAGAUGCUCAAAUGUAAAACCGCUGAAGAAUAAAGGGACAAAUGUACACAUCUGUCUAAAUGAAAAAAAUGAAAAUCCUGGCCGCAAAAACACAUACAUUAACGUCUAAAGACCUGCAGGGAAGACAAGACUUUUCCGCCUGGGACACAUGAAAGACAUCGAGCUAAUUUCCUUAAUAAAUGAAGAGCUCUUGGAAACCAACGAGAUAAAGACCAAACCAAGACAGAAAAAUGGGCAAAAGGGAUAAAACUGGCAAUUCGCAAGAAAAUCCAAACGGCUGGCCGACCUGCGAAGGAAACAUCACGACCUGUUUGCAUAAAGAAAUGCAAACCUGAAACACCGGGCACGUGCGGUUUAGGGGAGCGGGCAGUCUCACACACUACUGAGUUGUUUCCCAGCAGCCGUCAAUACAGACCUUCCACUGCGUAAGCCCACUGCAUUGCCAUUUAAUAAAACAGCAAGAAAAUGAGAGAGAAAAAUAAUGAGGUAGAAUUGUAUGGGAUUAUUAAGGAUUGAAUUCUCAGUAGAUUUAGUGAAAUAUACAAGUUACUGAAGUUUGUAGAAACGAACUGGUAAGUGUUUUCUCAUUUAUUUGUUUUUUAAGGAUAAACCCAAAUAUAGGUAAAACUGUUGGAAAGGUAGGCAAGAAAUUGUUGAUGAGUUACUUCUAGGGACAAGGAAUGUGGGGUGGAAGAGGGAUUUUUCCCUUCUGCCAUCCAUACUGUGAAUUUCCUUGGCAGAAAUACGUAUUUCUUCUCUGGCAGUAAAAUCAAUGAAUUACUAAAAGUUCACUAAUGUACUCUUUGGUCCAACUAUUCCACUCUCAAGGAACUAAAAAAGCAAAGGAAAUACAGGGAUAUACAGAAGAUUCUAUACAGGGAUAUUCACGGAGCAUCAUUUUUAUCACCAAAAAUGUGCUCCACAGAAAAGAAUUAAACUGUAUUCUGGUAAAUUUACACAGCGCGAUUUUAACUGACUAAUAAAAAUGCUGUAUGAUUUUAACUUUAAAGGAAAAAAUCUGUAAGAUGUGGUUAAUUACCAAAAGGUGUUUACCUAAGGAGCACACAGACUUUAAUACCCCAAAUUAAACUUUAUAUUAUACUCAAGGAGUUAUCAGUGGUUGCUUGCUACACUGAGAAGCUGCUUUAUGUGUUUUAGACUCCCUAGACCAUCAACAGUCUCUUUUUGCCCAGCAGUGCCACAUAAACAUAAUAUACGAAUGAAAACACUGUGCUUCUUAUGAAAAUACACGUUCAAAACAAAUUCCCCAGCAGGAAUAUUGAA
This 1381-nucleotide long non-coding RNA is filed under the name Homo sapiens (human). Its description in RNAcentral is "non-protein coding MIMT1:5". The stretch from base 1 to 75 matches the Rfam family "MER1 repeat containing imprinted transcript 1 conserved region 1", at positions 14 to 88 of the family's 88-position model. The record is from RNAcentral. Lineage: Eukaryota; Metazoa; Chordata; Mammalia; Primates; Hominidae.